This 76-nucleotide transfer RNA is filed under the name Pseudomonadota bacterium. RNAcentral's name for it is "tRNA-Gly". It matches the Rfam family "tRNA". Rfam says of the family: Transfer RNA (tRNA) molecules are approximately 80 nucleotides in length. Their secondary structure includes four short double-helical elements and three loops (D, anti-codon, and T loops). The record is from RNAcentral. Lineage: Bacteria; Pseudomonadati; Pseudomonadota.
GCGGGAAUAGCUCAGUUGGUAGAGCGUAGCCUUUCCAAGGUUGAGGUCGCAGUUUCGAAUCCUGCUUCCCGCUCCA